This 649-nucleotide long non-coding RNA is filed under the name Prunus dulcis (almond). RNAcentral's name for it is "sRNA ncRNA". The record is from RNAcentral. Lineage: Eukaryota; Viridiplantae; Streptophyta; Magnoliopsida; Rosales; Rosaceae.
UGGUGGAUAAGAAUCAUCAAAUGGGAUGAUUGAGGAUCCCAUCAAGAGUAGCAAAUAUUGAUCUACAUCAACGGCCCAAAACUAUUCAAUCUCCAAGAUUUAGUCUUGAAGAUAUUCGGAACAAGUAACAAUAAUGACAUGUUCUUAAAAGUUAAAACAAGAAAAUUUUGGAGGACGCGAGAGGGAGGGAAGGAUGUAGUCAGAAGUAGCUGGUUUAAUAUCAUACAAUAAUGUUAUCAUUGGGAAUCCGUCCGAUUUUUUUCAUCACCCAACAUCACACCUCCCUCGCUGCACCCAGAAAAUAAAUCUAAAUUUGAAGAAAAACAUAAAAAUAAAUGUAUCAACCUUGUCACCGAUAAUAUCCUAUAUGGAAGAAAGGAAAAUCGGAGCUAAAGGUUGAAUACAUACAUAUAAAUAUAUGAUAAAAUACGAAUGUAGGGUAUUCACUAUAGCCUAAGGAUAGAUUCCUUGAUCCACAAAGAUCAAACAAUUGCAAUUUUAGGCCUCAGAUCCAUACAUAGAUGAUAGAUAGACAGAAUCACUAGGGUUUGGGGAAGAAGAAGACUACCACCGAAACAACAAGAGCAUGAUGAGGUUUGGUGAAGGAGACGAAUCCGGCACCGAAGCAGCAAAAAGCCUAAUGUACGGU